This 103-nucleotide small RNA is filed under the name Flavobacterium noncentrifugens. RNAcentral's name for it is "Flavo-1 RNA". It matches the Rfam family "Flavo-1 RNA". Lineage: Bacteria; Pseudomonadati; Bacteroidota; Flavobacteriia; Flavobacteriales; Flavobacteriaceae. The record is from Rfam by way of RNAcentral.
CCCUAGCCCUGAUAGAAGCGCAAAUCCUUUUUUUUUAAUUUAAGAUUCCUCUCGCUUCCUCGAGGUAUCUUAAAAAAGAUUGCAGCGGAUAGCAGGUUCCCGG